This 385-nucleotide unclassified non-coding RNA is filed under the name soil metagenome. Its description in RNAcentral is "partial contains 5.8S ribosomal RNA, internal transcribed spacer 2, and large subunit ribosomal RNA". The stretch from base 1 to 120 matches the Rfam family "5.8S ribosomal RNA", at positions 35 to 154 of the family's 154-position model. The record is from RNAcentral.
GAUGAAGAACUUAGCGAAAUGCGAUAAGUAAUGUGAAUUGCAGAAUUCAGUGAAUCAUCGAAUCUUUGAACGCACCUUGCACCCUUUGGCAUUCCGAAGGGUAUGCUCGUUUGAGUGUCAUUGUACUCUCACACUCCCAAUUGCUUUGGAUUGGGAGCGGUGGACUUGGGUGUUGCUGCUUGACUGAGGCUCACCUGAAAUAUGUUAGUGCACCUCUUGAUUGGACAUAGUACGGCGUGAUAAGUGUCUUCGCCGGCUCCUCGCAAAGAGGGUGGCCGAUCGGGAGCUCUGUUGCUUCAAACUGUCUUCGGACAAUCUUCUGGCGACUUGACCUCAAAUCGAGUAGGACUACCCGCUGAACUUAAGCAUAUCAAUAAGCGGAGGA